RNAcentral lists this ribosomal RNA (775 nucleotides) under uncultured Neocallimastigales. RNAcentral's name for it is "partial large subunit ribosomal RNA". It matches the Rfam family "Eukaryotic large subunit ribosomal RNA", at positions 23 to 634 of the family's 3401-position model. Lineage: Eukaryota; Fungi; Neocallimastigomycota; Neocallimastigomycetes; Neocallimastigales. The record is from RNAcentral.
AGAGAGAGACAUGCGCGCAUAUCAAUAAGCGGAGGAAAAGAAACUAACAAGGAUUCCCUUAGUAACGGCGAGUGAAGCGGGAAGAGCUCAAAUUUGAAAUCUUCAAGGUUCUACCUUGACGAAUUGUAGUUUAUAGAAGUGUUUUCUGUUAGUGGAGUGGCAAAAGUUCUUUGGAAUAGGACAUCAUAGAGGGUGAGAAUCCCGUAUUUGGUCAUUCCUCCUAGCGUUGUGAUACACUUUCAACGAGUCGGAUUGUUUGGGAAUGCAGUCCAAAAUGGGUGGUAAAUUUCAUCUAAAGCUAAAUAUUGGCGAGAGACCGAUAGCGAACAAGUACCGUGAGGGAAAGAUGAAAAGAACUUUGAAAAGAGAGUUAAACAGUACGUGAAAUUGUCAAAAGGGAAGCGUUUGACACCAGUGUUGUUUUCUCGAAAAUCAAUUAAAAAUGGCGGGAUGUUGUGUUGUAUUGACUUUAUCAGCUUUCUGCACUUUUUUCCUGUCUUUCUUAAUGCACUUUUCGUUUAACAAGUCAACAUCAAUUUCUUUUGUUGUAAAAGGGUAUGAGGAAGGUGGCUUUCUUUUCGGAGAAAGUGUUUAUAGCCUUGUACCUCUGCAAUCGGGGAGAUUGAGGUCUGCAGCGUAGAUCCUUCGGGGUUAGAUACAUUUGUGCUAAGUUAUAGCUUUUCAUAGACAACUUGUUGACUAUGUUUAGUCUUGUAGCUUACUCGCUUAUCGCUAUUUUACCUACGCUUAGGAUGUUGAUAGUCACAGCGUGUAC